Molecule: long non-coding RNA, 529 nt
Organism: Motacilla alba alba
Lineage: Eukaryota; Metazoa; Chordata; Aves; Passeriformes; Motacillidae
Exons: 3
Source: RefSeq, a predicted model, not a curated record
GCUUCUCCUCAGCUCUGGAUCUGUGAGGUCAGGACAGGUGUGUGAGGAUCGAUCCCUGCCCGAGCUCUUGGUAGCAAAGGUGGAGAGGGAAGUUCACGACGACUGGGGAGAAGCAAACCGGGACUGAAAGCAUGAAGAGGCAGAAAUCACCAGAAUAAAAGGCAGAGAAUCAGAGCUGAAGGGCACCGGCGGAGCUGUUUGUGGGGGAGAGCCGCGGCUUGGAGCAGACUUUUAUGAAAAUGAUCUCAUUAGGAACAUGGAACUCCUGUUUCUGAGAAAGGUUUCUUGAGGACGGCAAUCCACAAAGGAAUUCCUUUAUUGGGCACUCUCCUGUCUCCUAUGGAUGAAUCCUGGAGCAACAUAAAAUAUUCUUCACAACAUUUAUUUCAACGGUGUUUCUAAAUAAAGCUGGGCUGAAACUACAUGAGAUUUAGUUGUUGGGUGUUUGGGGUAGGGAGGGUUUUUUUUUUUCCUUUUGUCUUUAAAGAAGACAUGUUCCAGCUGUCUGGAAGGAAAGAGCUAGAAAGGA